CAUCAUCAGCAGAAUGGAGACGCACAUCUGGAUUCCUCUUCAUGUGGGCGUCUCUUUCAGAGGCCUUCAACAUCGACACUGAACAUCCACUGAGAUUUAACGGCACGCCAGAAGAUUUCUUUGGUUACAGCGUUUAUCAGACCGAGUUUGGAAACAGGAA
This is a long non-coding RNA of Cyprinus carpio (common carp), 160 nucleotides long. RefSeq lists it as uncharacterized. Lineage: Eukaryota; Metazoa; Chordata; Actinopteri; Cypriniformes; Cyprinidae. The transcript has 2 exons. The record is from RefSeq and is a predicted model, not a curated record.